Molecule: ribosomal RNA, 363 nt
Filed under: uncultured bacterium
Lineage: Bacteria
Description: bacterial SSU rRNA
Rfam family: Bacterial small subunit ribosomal RNA
Source: RNAcentral
GUUAUUCAGCAAUGGGUAACCGAGUGGCGAACGGGUGAGUAACACGUGGGUGACCUACCUUCGAGUGGGGGAUAACGUCCCGAAAGGGACGCUAAUACCGCAUAACAUCCUGCCUUUGAACAGGCGGUGAUCAAAGCCGGGGACCGUAAGGCCCGGCGCUUGAUGAGGGGCUCGCGUCUGAUUAGCUAGUUGGUGAGGUAACGGCCCACCAAGGCGACGAUCAGUAUCCGGCCUGAGAGGGCGGACGGACACACUGGGACUGAGACACGGCCCAGACUCCUACGGGAGGCAGCAGUGGGGAAUUGUUCACAAUGGGCGCAAGCCUGAUGACGCAACGCCGCGUGGAGGAUGAAGGUCUUCGGA